RNAcentral lists this ribosomal RNA (249 nucleotides) under uncultured bacterium. Its description in RNAcentral is "partial 16S ribosomal RNA". It matches the Rfam family "Bacterial small subunit ribosomal RNA", at positions 524 to 776 of the family's 1533-position model. The record is from RNAcentral.
UACGAGGGGGCAAGCGUUGUUCGGAAUUAUUGGGCGUAAAGGGCGCGUAGGCGGUGCGGUAAGUCUGUGGUGAAAGCGCCUGGCUUAACCGGGCGAGGUCCAUGGAAACUAGCGGUCUGGAGGCCGGUAGAGGGGGUGGAAUUCCGGGUGUAGUGGUGAAAUGCGUAGAGAUCCGGAGGAACACCAGUGGCGAAGGCGGCCCCUGGGCCGCGCCUGACGCUGAGACGCGAAAGCGCGGGAGCGAACGGG